Molecule: transfer RNA, 75 nt
Filed under: Fukomys damarensis (Damara mole-rat)
Lineage: Eukaryota; Metazoa; Chordata; Mammalia; Rodentia; Bathyergidae
Rfam family: tRNA
About the family: Transfer RNA (tRNA) molecules are approximately 80 nucleotides in length. Their secondary structure includes four short double-helical elements and three loops (D, anti-codon, and T loops). Further hydrogen bonds mediate the characteristic L-shaped molecular structure. tRNAs have two regions of fundamental functional importance: the anti-codon, which is responsible for specific mRNA codon recognition, and the 3' end, to which the tRNAs corresponding amino acid is attached (by aminoacyl-tRNA synthetases). tRNAs cope with the degeneracy of the genetic code in two manners: having more than one tRNA (with a specific anti-codon) for a particular amino acid; and 'wobble' base-pairing, i.e. permitting non-standard base-pairing at the 3rd anti-codon position.
Source: Rfam by way of RNAcentral
GGGGAUAUAGCUGAGUGGUAGAGUGCUUGUCUAGCAUGCACAAGGAGGUCCUGGGUUCAAUCGCCAGUAACACCC